UCGAAUCCUCGUACCGAAUGACCUGCGAACCCGUUCCAAAAAUCACAAGCGUCUCGGUGACUCGUUGCCGGACGCGUCGAGCACGGAAAAAGAAAAUCCGGCGCGGGAAGCGCCAAGGACUAGCGAAAUAGAGGAUGGCCUUCCCGCGGCAUCCUGGCCGAGGGGAUUAAAGGGGUCUCCGAACGAUAUACAGUACGACUCUCGGCAACGGAUAUCUAGGCUCUCGCAUCGAUGAAGAACGUAGCAAACUGCGAUAGUUGGUGUGAAUUGCAGAAUCCCGUGAACCACGGAGUCUUUGAACGCAAGUUGCGCCCGAAGCCAUUAGGCCGAGGGCACGUCUGCCUGGGCGUCACGCAUCGCGUCGUCCCCCCGGCCCCCCGUGUCCCGAAAGGGGGUCGCGGGCCUUGGCGUGGGGGCGGAAGUUGGCUUCCCGUGCAGCGUGUGCGGCUGGCCUGAAACAGCGGUUCCCUCGGCGCGGCCGUCGCGGCAACAAGCGGUGGCCGUGGAGAUCGUACGCGAGUUGCCGGCGAGCCGGGUCGAGGAGAGCACUUGGACCCCGUGCGAGACGACGAGCCCUUGAGGGAGGGGCAA
This 591-nucleotide unclassified non-coding RNA is filed under the name Vincetoxicum carnosum. Its description in RNAcentral is "sequence contains ITS1, 5.8S rRNA gene, ITS2". The stretch from base 197 to 352 matches the Rfam family "5.8S ribosomal RNA". The record is from RNAcentral. Lineage: Eukaryota; Viridiplantae; Streptophyta; Magnoliopsida; Gentianales; Apocynaceae.